UCCGAACGGUGCAAACGAUGAUCGGAAUCAUUGGGCGUAAAGCGCACGCAAGCGGCUUCGCAAGUCGAAUGUGAAAUCCGUAGGCUCACACAAGGAAGUGCAUCCUGAACUGCGAAGCUUGAGUACCAAAGAGGAUCGCGGAAUUCCCGGUGUAGAGGUGAAAUUCGUAGAUAUCGGGAGGAACUCCAGUGGCGAAGGCGGCGAUCUGGGUGGAUACUGACGCUGAGGUGCGAAAGCGUGGGGAGUAAACAGG
Molecule: ribosomal RNA, 253 nt
Filed under: uncultured bacterium
Lineage: Bacteria
Description: partial 16S ribosomal RNA
Rfam family: Bacterial small subunit ribosomal RNA
Source: RNAcentral